Molecule: ribosomal RNA, 420 nt
Filed under: Triticum aestivum (bread wheat)
Lineage: Eukaryota; Viridiplantae; Streptophyta; Magnoliopsida; Poales; Poaceae
Description: partial small subunit ribosomal RNA
Source: RNAcentral
AUGGUCAAAAUAGAUUUGGCAAAAGCUUUUGACAGGUUAGAAUGGCACUUCAUCAUCUCUGCUUUCCAUCAUAAAGGGUUGCAUGGUCAUUUUAUAAAUCUUAUCCACUCUUGCAUCUCUCCGAUUUUUUCUGUUAUCGUAAAUGGACAAUCUUUUGCGCACUUUAAAAGUAGUCGAGGUAUAAGACAGGGGUGUCCCCUUUCCCCUUUGCCUUUUGUGCUUGCGGUUAAUGAACUAUCGUUGGCUUUUCAGGAUGCACUGCAAUCCAAUCACCUAGUAGGUAUCUCACUUGGACCUGAAUGCCCUCCUAUUCACUCCUUAAUGUUUGCGGAUGAUUUACUGGUUUGUGGAAAAGCUAAUGUGCAGGAGGCAUUGAAUAUUUCCAAUAUUUUACAUCAAUUUUGUCAGCUUUCGGGUUAG